GAUGAACGCUGGCGGCGUGCCUAAUACAUGCAAGUCGAGCGAACAGACGAGGAGCUUGCUCCUCUGACGUUAGCGGCGGACGGGUGAGUAACACGUGGAUAACCUACCUAUAAGACUGGGAUAACUUCGGGAAACCGGAGCUAAUACCGGAUAAUAUAUUGAACCGCAUGGUUCAAUAGUGAAAGACGGUUUUGCUGUCACUUAUAGAUGGAUCCGCGCCGCAUUAGCUAGUUGGUAAGGUAACGGCUUACCAAGGCAACGAUGCGUAGCCGACCUGAGAGGGUGAUCGGCCACACUGAAACUGAGACACGGUCCAGACUCCACGGGAGGCAGCAGUAGGGAAUCUUCCGCAAUGGGCGAAAGCUUGACGGAGCAACGCCGCGUGAGUGAUGAAGGUCUUCGGAUCGUAAAACUCUGUUAUUAGGGAAGAACAAAUGUGUAAGUAACUAUGCACGUCUUGACGGUACCUAAUCAGAAAGCCACGGCUAACUACGUG
RNAcentral lists this ribosomal RNA (496 nucleotides) under uncultured bacterium. RNAcentral's name for it is "partial 16S ribosomal RNA". It matches the Rfam family "Bacterial small subunit ribosomal RNA", at positions 28 to 507 of the family's 1533-position model. The record is from RNAcentral.